RNAcentral lists this ribosomal RNA (877 nucleotides) under uncultured Filifactor sp. RNAcentral describes it as "bacterial SSU rRNA". It matches the Rfam family "Bacterial small subunit ribosomal RNA", at positions 27 to 905 of the family's 1533-position model. Lineage: Bacteria; Bacillati; Bacillota; Clostridia; Peptostreptococcales; Filifactoraceae. The record is from RNAcentral.
GGAUGAACGCUGGCGGCGUGCUUAACACAUGCAAGUCGAACGAACGACUAUUAACAGAACCUUUCGGGGCGAAGAUGAUAGAAGUUAGUGGCGGACGGGUGCGUAACGCGUGGGUAAUCUGCCUUUGUCAAAGGAAUAACUAUUCGAAAGAAUAGCUAAAACCGUAUAACAUAUUAAUAGGGCAUCCUAAUAAUAUCAAAACGAUAGUGGACAAAGAUGAGCCCGCGUCUGAUUAGCUAGUUGGUGAGAUAAAAGCCCACCAAGGCAACGAUCAGUAGCCGACCUGAGAGGGUGAACGGCCACAUUGGAACUGAGACACGGUCCAAACUCCUACGGGAGGCAGCAGUGGGGAAUAUUGCACAAUGGGGGGAACCCUGAUGCAGCAACGCCGCGUGAGUGAAGAAGGCAUUCGUGUCGUAAAACUCUGUAGUAGGGGAAGAAAGAAAUGACAGUACCCUAAAAGAAAGCCCCGGCUAACUACGUGCCAGCAGCCGCGGUAAUACGUAGGGGGCAAGCGUUAUCCGGAAUAACUGGGCGUAAAGGGUGCGCAGGUGGUUUAACAAGUUAGUGGUGAAAGGCAUAGGCUCAACCAAUGUAAGCCAUUAAAACUGUUUAACUUGAGUGCAGGAGAGGAAAGUGGAAUUCCUAGUGUAGCGGUGAAAUGCGUAGAUAUUAGGAGGAAUACCAGUGGCGAAGGCGACUUUCUGGACUGUAACUGACACUGAGGCACGAAAGCGUGGGGAGCAAACAGGAUUAGAUACCCUGGUAGUCCACGCCGUAAACGAUGAGUACUAGGUGUCGGGUGAAGAACUCGGUGCCGAAGUUAACACAUUAAGUACCCCGCCUGGGGAGUACGCUCGCAAGAGUAAAACUCAAA